This 230-nucleotide ribosomal RNA is filed under the name uncultured bacterium. Its description in RNAcentral is "partial 16S ribosomal RNA". It matches the Rfam family "Bacterial small subunit ribosomal RNA", at positions 563 to 791 of the family's 1533-position model. The record is from RNAcentral.
AAGCGUGCGCAGGCGGUUUUGUAAGACUGUCGUGAAAUCCCCGGGCUCAACCUGGGAAUGGCGAUGGUGACUGCAAGGCUAGAGUUUGGCAGAGGGGGGUAGAAUUCCACGUGUAGCAGUGAAAUGCGUAGAUAUGUGGAGGAACACCGAUGGCGAAGGCAGCCCCCUGGGUCAAAACUGACGCUCAUGCACGAAAAGCGUGGGGAGCAAACAGGAUUAGAUACCCGAGU